RNAcentral lists this ribosomal RNA (271 nucleotides) under uncultured bacterium. Its description in RNAcentral is "partial 16S ribosomal RNA". It matches the Rfam family "Bacterial small subunit ribosomal RNA", at positions 15 to 291 of the family's 1533-position model. The record is from RNAcentral.
GAUCAUGGCUCAGGAUGAAUGCUGGCGGCGCGCCUAACACAUGCAAGUCGAACGGCACCCACCUUCGGUGGAAGCGAGUGGCGAACGGCUGAGUAACACGUGGAGAACCUGCCCCCUCCCCCGGGAUAGCCGCCCGAAAGGACGGGUAAUACCGGAUACCCCGGGGUGCCGCAUGGCACCCCGGCUAAAGCCCCGACGGGAGGGGAUGGCUCCGCGGCCCAUCAGGUAGACGGCGGGGUGACGGCCACCGUGCCGACAACGGGUAGCCGGG